CCUACGGGUGGCAGCAGUGAGGAAUAUUGGUCAAUGGACGAGAGUCUGAACCAGCCAAGUAGCGUGAAGGAUGACUGCCCUAUGGGUUGUAAACUUCUUUUAUAAAGGAAUAAAACGAGGCACGUGUGCCUUUUUGCAUGUACUUUAUGAAUAAGGAUCGGCUAACUCCGUGCCAGCAGCCGCGGUAAUACGGAGGAUCCGAGCGUUAUCCGGAUUUAUUGGGUUUAAAGGGAGCGUAGAUGGGUUGUUAAGUCAGUUGUGAAAGUUUGCGGCUCAACCGUAAAAUUGCAAUUGAUACUGGCAGUCGUGAGUACAGUUGAGGUAUGCGGAAGUCGUGGUGUAGCGGUGAAAUGCUUAGAUAGCACGAAGAACCCCGAUUGCGAAGGCAGCUUACUAAACUGUGACUGACAUUGAUGCUCGAAAGUGUGGGUAUCAAACAGGAUUAGAUACCCCAGUAGUC
RNAcentral lists this ribosomal RNA (460 nucleotides) under uncultured bacterium. Its description in RNAcentral is "partial 16S ribosomal RNA". It matches the Rfam family "Bacterial small subunit ribosomal RNA", at positions 338 to 795 of the family's 1533-position model. The record is from RNAcentral.